GUUAACCGGAAUUAGGGGUUAUUAAGUGGAAGCUGGUUGGAUCUGUUUCUAUGGCAAUCUGCGCAGAGAUGGAGCCCCAGCCUUAUGCCCUGUGCUACCUGGGGAGACUCCAAGACCCCUGGACCAUGAGCAGAAUAAGCAGCUGGAAGGAUACCUGCAGACACUCCCGUUUCCCCGGGUUUCUCCUGUAUUUCAAGGCCAUCUCCUGGCACCUUCUCAUUUUGUUGUUUCUCCUGGAUUUUACAUAUGAUUUCACAUAUCCAAGGGUCCCGGGAAACUGUUGGGCCUCCUGAAUCUGCCAGGGUAUCCAUGACCCUCCUCUGCCCCCAGUCCUACCCAGG
Non-coding RNA from Paramormyrops kingsleyae, 341 nucleotides. Lineage: Eukaryota; Metazoa; Chordata; Actinopteri; Osteoglossiformes; Mormyridae. The record is from RefSeq and is a predicted model, not a curated record.